GAAUAGAGUCUGAGGUCUGUCUCAGACUCCUGGACCGCCUUCUGACCGGCUAGGAUGUGUGGGCAAAGGUGGAAGGAGGCCGCCACAGUGCUUGGCUUUCUGCAUGUCACAGGCAAGGUGGAUAUUAGAAGCCCUUGUCAGUUUUACAAAUCCAGAGCAGAUAGAAAGAAGGUUUCUGACAGCCCUGGUGUGAGCCAUGUGCCCAUGAUGAAUCCAAUCACCGUGGUUAGGUCAUCUGGUUUGCUCCAGCCCCUGGGACACAGAGCUGUGAGAAAGCAUGCAUCCUUUCAGAUCCAACUGGUGGCGGGCGUGACCCUCCAGGAAAUUUUCCUUUGCUGGCUGCCCGAGUUGGCCAGACAACUUAUCCUCUGAUUGGGGGGUCACACAUCACCCCAAGAGAAUGGUGAUUUUUUUCUGAAGGCAAUGGCAGCAGAGGGAGAGGGAGGAGGCUUAAAAUAACACACACACACACACACACACACACACACGUGCGCACAUGCAGAAGACCAAUGUGUAACACUGAUGGACUCACACAGACUUCAGGAUUAAUUUAUAGAUGCUUCUUAAGCUGAAGUGACUCGUUCAGGCAGCUGGGCCAGGCCAGGCCACGCUUCUUGGGCUUUCCAUCUGCUGAACCAUUCCCGCCUCAGCCCCAGCUAAUGUAGAGGAAGAAAAGUGCUGACAGUGGCCACAGGCCAUGGUGGGAUCAUGCUCCAGGUCUUUGCACUCAAGCCGCCUGGAAUGGCAGAGUUCUAAUGAUUUUUUUUUUUUUAACUUCUUCAUUGUUUUGUUUUUUAACUGCAGCAAAAUCUUCAGAGGGUGCCAUAUACCUGUCUUUUGUGUGUAAUGCAACGACUUUUGAUGGACGUAUAUACCACGUCACCCAAGUUACAAAACAUUCCAUUGCCCCAGAAAGUUCUUUUGUGUCCCUUCCAGUUACAGUCACCCCAAAGGUGCCAUUCUUCUGAUUUCUUUCACCAUACCCAAAUUCUAGAGCUUCAUGUCAGAACAAUCACCCUAGGUUUAUUAUCUUGUAUUAUUUUUUUUCCACUCAGCCCAAGGUCUGUGAAGUUCAUCCAGCUGUUGUGUGCAUCGGUAUUUGAAUCCAAUAUCCUCUGACUCCUAGCCCAGCAUGUGAACCCACACCUGUUGGUUUGCCUCUGUUCACUGGCAGUUCUGUUGUUUCCAGUUUGGGGCUAUUGCGAAGAAAGCUGCACCAAGCAUCCAUGUACCAGACACUGUGUGGACACAGGCUUUCAUUCUCUUCAAUUAAAAAUCUAAGAGUAGAACUGCUGGAUCAUAAGGAGGCAAAUAUUUAAAAUUUAGAAGAAAUUUAUCAUUGAAGCAGUUGUACUGCUUACACUAUCUGCAC
Molecule: long non-coding RNA, 1372 nt
Filed under: Sus scrofa (pig)
Lineage: Eukaryota; Metazoa; Chordata; Mammalia; Artiodactyla; Suidae
Description: lncRNA (ENSSSCG00070005872.1)
Source: RNAcentral